Molecule: long non-coding RNA, 211 nt
Filed under: Lathyrus oleraceus (garden pea)
Lineage: Eukaryota; Viridiplantae; Streptophyta; Magnoliopsida; Fabales; Fabaceae
Description: Pisum sativum (pea) long non-coding RNA (PSAT_LNC017514)
Source: RNAcentral
UAGAGCAUAUGAUGCGCACGCACAUGUGAGCCAUUUGAUGUGCCACAUCAUUUAAUGAAAUGAAUCCAACGUGCAAGGAUUUUUCCUAUUUUCUGAUUUUUCUAUUUUUUUUUCUUUAUUUCAUUUUAUUUCAAAAAUUCAUAUCUCUUUUUUUUUAAAUCCAAAAAAUAUGGGACCAGUUGCGUUAUUUUCCUUUUUAAUUAUAGUUUCU